AUGUGUGUCCCGAAAGAAAAAUGUGGAAUGGGAUUUAGAGAUAUCCAUGCUUUCAAUCUUGCACUUCUAGCAAAACAAUGCUGGAGGUUGAUUGAGAACUAUGACUCGCUCUGUGCAAGAGUGUUGCGUGCUCGAUACUAUCCCACUGAUGAUAUUCUAAACUGCACUUUAAAGAAGGGUUCAUCUUUUGUAUGGCAGAGCAUAUUUGCAGGCAUACAAACGUUCAAGAAAGGAAGCAUUUGGAGAGUUGGGGACGGCACAAAGAUUGAUAUCUGGGAGGAUAGUUGGAUACCAAACAGCCCAACAAGAAAGGUCUUCACACGACGAGGUAAUUGCCUAUUAACACAUGUGAGCGACCUGACAGACCCUAUAUCAGGUGAGUGGGACGAGCAGAUUAUCAGGGACAACUUUUGGAGAAUAGAUGCAGAUCGUAUAUUACAGAUUCCCUUAUCCCAUCAUGUCUUGGAUGACGCUGUUGCAUGGCACUUCACAAAAAAUGGAGUAUACAACGUUCGAUCUGGCUAUUACAGAGAAUGGGAAAAUCAAUAUGGUAUGAAAGUUGGGGGCGAGGCUGGACAGUCGAGCACACCUGAUCAUCCGGUUUGGAAGAGGCUGUGGAAAUUAAAGCUACCAGGAAAAGCAAAAAUCUUCGUCUGGCGUUGCCUGCACAACACCAUCCCUUUUAAGUGUACACUAGCCAACAGACACAUACCUACAAGUGGGUAGUGUCCAAUUUGCCAGCAGGGGACGGAGGACAUUAAACAUGCGCUUUUCACGUGCCCCCGGGCUAGGUCAAUAUGGUCUGAGUUGGGCUUGAAAACUGUGAUA
This 828-nucleotide ribosomal RNA is filed under the name Triticum aestivum (bread wheat). Its description in RNAcentral is "partial small subunit ribosomal RNA". The record is from RNAcentral. Lineage: Eukaryota; Viridiplantae; Streptophyta; Magnoliopsida; Poales; Poaceae.